This is a long non-coding RNA of Dreissena polymorpha, 1422 nucleotides long. RefSeq lists it as uncharacterized. The record is from RefSeq and is a predicted model, not a curated record. The transcript has 2 exons. Lineage: Eukaryota; Metazoa; Mollusca; Bivalvia; Myida; Dreissenidae.
CUUCUCUCAGUGUUAUGUUUUCUCAGUGAUCGCGUAUAAGUUCUCAAAGUUCUCUCAGUGUUUAGUUCUCUUAAUGAUCGCGUCUUAAGUUCUCUCAGUUAUCAAGUAUAAGUAAGCUAAGUUCUCUCAGUGUUAAAUUCUCUCAUUGACCGCGUGUUAAUUUGGCGCUGUGAUCGCGUGUUAAGUUCUAACUAAGUUGUAACCUAAUUUCUCUCAAUAAUCGCGUAUAACUUCAUUAUGUUCUCUCAUUGUUCAGUUCUCUCAAUGAUCCCGUUUAAGUUUUCUUUGUUCUCUCAGUGUUAAGUUCUCUCAAUGAUGGCGUAUAAGUUCUCUAAGUUCUCUCAGUGUUUAGUUCUCUCAAUGAUCGCGUCUUAAGUUCUCUCAGUUAUCGCGUAUAAGUAAGUUAAGUUCUCUCAGUGUUAGGUUUUUCAUUGACCGCGUGUUAAUUUUUCUUUGUGAUCGCGUGUUAAGUUCUAACUAAGUUGUAACCUAAUUUCUCUCAAUAAUCGUGUAUAAGUUCUCUCAGUUAUCGCGUAUAAGUUUUCUUUGUUCUCUCAGUGUUAAGUUCUCUCAGUUAUCGCGUAUAAGUUCUCAAAGUUUUCUCAGUGUUAAGUUCUGUCAAUGAUCGCGUCUUAAGUUCUCUCAGUUAUCGCGUAUAAGUAAGCUAAGUUCUCUCAGUGUUAAGUUCUCUCAUUGACCGCGUGUUAAUUUGUCUCUGUGAUCGCGUGUUAAAUUCUAACUAAGUUGUAACCUAAUUUCUCUCAAUAAUCACGUGUAAGUUCAUUAUGUUCUCUUAUUGUUCAGUUCUCUCAGUGGUCGCGUAUAAGUUUUCUUUAUUCUCUCAGUGUUAAUGUCUCUCAGUGAUCGCGUAUAAGUUCUCUAAGUUCUCUCAGUGUUUAGUUCUCUCAAUGAUCGCGUCUUAAGUUCUCUCAGUGAUCGCGUAUAAGUUCUCUAAGUUCUCAUAGUGUUUAGUUCUCUCAAUGAUCGCGUCUUAAGUUCUCUCAGUAAUUGCGUAUAAGUAAGCUAAGUUCUCUCAGUGUUAAGUUCUCUUAUUGACCGCGUGUUAAUUUGUCUCUGUGAUCGCGUGUUAAAUUCUAACUUAGUUGUAACCUAAUUUCUCUCAAUAAUCGCGUAUAAGUUCAUUAUGUUCUCUCAUUGUUCAGUUCUCUCAGUGAUCGCGUAUAAGUUCUCUAAGUUCUUUCAGUGUUUAGUUCUCUCAAUGAUCGCGUCAUAAGUUCCCCCAUUAUCGCGUAUAAGUAAGUUAAGUUUUCUAGUGUUAGGUUUUUCAUUGACCGCUAGUUAAUUUUUCUUUGUGAUCGCGUGUUAAGUUCUAACUAAGUUGUAACCUAAUUUCUCUCAAUAAUCGCGUAUAAGUUCAUUAUGUUCUCUCAUUGUUCAGUUCUCUCAGUGGUCGCGUAUAAG